AAAAUACCUCCCGGGGCUGGGGGCGGGCGGGGGCACGCCUCUCUGAAGGGCAGCCUACCGUGACCAAUAGCAGGCGGGGCUUUGGUGGGGCGGGAUUCCCAGCGGCCAAUCCGGAGGCGUGUAGGUGAAGGCCGGAGGAGGGAGGCAGAGAACGAGAAGGGGGCGGCCCGGGAGCCUGGGAGGUCCGGCCGCUCGGGUGCGCGCUGUGCGCGGCCUCCAUUUUGGAGUCGGGCAGCUGCGACGGAGGCCGGGUCCGGCCAGGGAAAGGAAGGAGCCAGUCAGUUUGUGCUUCAAGAAGUCUGAAUUAUUCUACCUACUAGUCCACCGGAGAGUGCUCCUGCUAAGGCUACCCCAGUGACAUCAUAUGGUGGAGUGCAAGGCUCACAAUUUAGACUUUAUCUCUUUCAGUGGAUUCKGUGAACUGCAUCCUUCUUGAAGGUUUUUAUCUUUCCCCUCAGACCCCUUAACCUAUGUGUCUUUCUCUUCAGGUAAUUUUUCUCAGUCUCUUCAAUCCUUAAAAGCCCAGGUUCUGAUCUUCAGUUUUAGGUGGCUCAC
RNAcentral lists this long non-coding RNA (555 nucleotides) under Urocitellus parryii (Arctic ground squirrel). RNAcentral describes it as "lncRNA (ENSUPAG00010020644.1)". The record is from RNAcentral. Lineage: Eukaryota; Metazoa; Chordata; Mammalia; Rodentia; Sciuridae.